AUAGUUUAUCAUUUCAGAGGAGAAGAGAUUGCAGCCAUAACUAUUAGAUAAUAACAUGAGCACUGUAUGGUCCCAUCACAGACCUGCAUGUAGCAGUUGCCCUGAUUUUCUUAAAGGAUUCUUAUUUUAGAAAUGAGAUACCAUCAGAAUUUCUAAUUUAGCUUUUAUAUUUCAAAUAUAGGGCACAGAGGAUUGGGUUAUUGUAGACAAAAUACCAACUGAGGUAGUUGAUGGUGAUUUGAAAAAGAUUGUGACUUACAAGGUGGUGACCGUGAGCAGUAGAACUGGUGACCUCCCAGCUGACAUGUUAAAAUCUGGCACUAUUAAAAUGCAAAGCUUCGAAGACUUGGCUCGAGAAAUGCAACUGAAAGAAGACAGCAAACAGAAAAUAUACACUCUAGGAAAAUCCUAUGACACUGUCUCCGGGAGAAUUGUUACUAUGACUGGGAAAGCUAAAGAGGGCGAGAAAGUGGAGCAGCCCUCCACUACGGAAGCACUUCAGAAAAUGGAGAAAGAAAUGCCAGAGUCCAUGAAGAUCAUUCCCGGCCUGGCAGAGUAUGAGGUCCUGGAAACCCUCGCUGAUGAGAAAUCCAAGAGAGGACCAGAGGUCCAGACGACAAAGCGGAAAUUGUCCGAAUCCCUGGCCACCAUCAAGGAGGCCGAGUCUCGCCGGCAGAGUCCUGAAGAAGAUGACCUCAAGAAGGCUCCACAGCUGGAGAAGGAUGUGGCCGUCCUCCCUGGCCUGGAAGGCAGACGCUUCAGCAAAACAGAGCAAGUGCCCGAGAGUGAGGUCUUAAAAGUGGGCCUCUUUGGUCCCCGAAGGAAGAGCCUGUCCGAAUGGAGAUAUUCCCAGGAACCAGCCUUUACCGUUGCUACUGCCCAUUACGUUACUGAGUCAUCCGCCUCCCAAGUAGUGGUAACCAGUGUCACUCAUUGGGGCCACAGUUUGCAAUUCCAGCAUGACAGUUUUUGAGGCAGUCCCCUUCCACCCCAAACCUUUCUGUUUCUCUUGCUGCUUGGCUUUAUGUUGAGAGCAGCCAACCCAGCUUCUUAAUUUUUUUUCAUGGUUAAAUCAAUACUGCAGUGCAAAGUCAGCAUUAAAACACUUUCCAUUUUAUUUCCAGCACCCUGUUCCCAAGAUGUGAUAGUGCUGCUGUGGCUUGUAAUGAAGGGGAAAAUAUAUAUAUAUAUCUGCUUAAAUCGGCGCCACCCCGAUCCUAAUAACCGUCUCUGCUUUACCAAACAAGAGCACCUGGUUUUCUAUUUUAUUUCCCAUUCUUUUCGUUUCCAAACUCUGAGAUUCCUUCGUUCUUCCUCCUCCCUGUCUCCUCUGCCUACGAUUUUGUCUAACAAGCUGUGAAUGUUUAUGUGCCUGAGUUUGUGUCUCUCUUUUGUGCUUGACUCUGCCUCUCUUUGUUCACUCAGACUAAGCAGUCUUCUGGGGAAAAGCUCAUGGAUGGCUCUGAAAUCUUCAGUUUAUUAGAGUCUGCGCGAAAACCAACAGAAUUCAUAGGAGGGGUUACUUCUGCUUCUCAAAGCUGGGUUCAGAAAAUGGAAACCAAGACGGAGUCCAGUGGAAUAGAGACGGAACCCACCGUGCACCACCUGCCGCUUAGCACUGAGAAGGUGAUGCAGGAGACCGUGUUGGUGGAGGAGCAGCGUGUGGUGCACGUGAGUGGGGAUGCUUCUUACUCGGCGGGAGAGAGCGGGGAUGCUGCAGCACAGCCCGCAUUCACAGGCAUUAAAGGGAAAGAGGGCUCUGCCUUGACGGAGGAGGCUAAAGAGGAAGGAGGGGAGGAGGUCGCUAAAGCUGUCCUGGAACAGGAAGAGACAGCCGCUGCUUCCCGUGAGCGACAAGAGGAGCAGAGUGCAGCCAUCCACAUUUCAGAAACUUUGGAACAAAAACCUCAUUUUGAGUCCUCAACGGUGAAGACGGAAACCAUCAGUUUUGGCAGUGUUUCACCGGGAGGAGUAAAGCUAGAAAUUUCCACCAAGGAAGUGCCAGUAGUUCACACCGAAACCAAAACCAUCACAUAUGAAUCAUCACAGGUGGAUCCAGGCACAGAUCUGGAGCCAGGCGUGCUGAUGAGUGCACAGACGAUCACAUCUGAAACCACCAGUACCACCACCACUACGCACAUCACCAAAACUGUGAAAGGGGGCAUUUCAGAGACAAGAAUUGAGAAGCGAAUAGUCAUCACGGGGGAUGCAGACAUUGACCAUGACCAGGUAGUAUGUGUGAGACGGUAAAUACCCUGGCAGAGAAACAAAGAAAAACCUGUUGGUCCUACAGUUUCAAUGCUAUUCCUCUAGUCCAUCAUGUAUUCCGAAGAAAAUUAUGAAUUAACUUUCCAGUAUAUGAUUUAUGAUUCCUUUUGUAAUCAUUGUACCUCAUUUGUAAAUUGUGGAUAUAGAUCUAGCUCAUAAGUCUCCACCUCACCACUGAUCAUGCAUGUUCCACCUCCUUUUUGUUUCUGCCCUUCUGUGAUUUCCCGGGGAUAGGCGCUGGCUCAGGCAAUUAAAGAGGCCAAAGAGCAGCACCCUGACAUGUCAGUGACCAAAGUAGUGGUCCAUAAAGAGACAGAGAUCACACCAGAAGAUGGAGAGGAUUGACCAGAGGUAAGAGGUGAUGCCGAUUCUCUAGGCUUGCCUAGGCUGGCAUGAGGCAUGGGGCACUUCCCUCUCAUCCUUCACCUGAUCCUUCCUUUCCUCUGUUCUCUCACUGGCAUUUGUUGGGCUGGUUACCAAGAGGAUGGAGAAUUGGUUUAUGGGUUUGUCUCACAUUUGGAGCUUCCAUUCUUGUGGAGUUUUUGCAUGCACUGCCAGUUAGAGGAUAAAGGAAGAGCAGAGUCUAUGCUUGUGUGGUCUUCCUGGUGUUCCCUUUUAUUCCAUGGCCUGCACUCUUUGAUUAUCCAAAUUUGUAAUGGCAAAUUUGAUUUUACUUGCCAUGUGGCCUAAUUGGAACAAAGGCAGUUUUGCUCUGAGAGGCUCAAUUUGUGUGUUCCAAAUACUAGGGAAAUAAUAUAUACCCCUUUCUCCUUCUGAUGGCAACAUUAUCCCGUCGUAAGCUUUCUCUUCAACUGUGUUUGAUUGUAGCCUGUUUAUGCUUUUGUCUUUAGUUUUGUUUUUUUAAUUUGAAAGCUGAGCACUCACUUUCUUUUUGGAUGUCUUAUAUUUCCUGUAUUCUUUGGGAUGAUUUUUCUCCCUAGUGUAGCACUGUCUCAGAAGGAGGCAAAAAAAAUGCAGUCUUGUGGUCCUGUAGAAAGCACAUACCUUUCCAGUGACUGUUUGGCCAGCAUCAUGAGCAGACUAUAUCAUCUAUGUGAGCACAGACUUGUCAUGCAUACUCACCUGCCAUGCAAGAUCUCAUGGGGCCAUGAGCGUUUCUGAGAGGGCUUUGAAUGCUGAAUGCAGCAGUCGAGCGACUUGCACAACUUGGUGAUGUGAUAAAAUGUUUAAGAGAUUUCAUAUAUUAGUAAGUUUUCUAACAUCGGUUUAAGAAACAAAUUGAUGAGUGGCAUCUCUUAAAAGAGAAAUAUAAAAAAUACUCAUUUUACUCAAAUGAAUAAUAUAUUUUGGAAGAUAGCAAAAAAAAUAAAAAAGAUUUCUUCCAUGAGCUUCAGCCACUUGGGCGUUGUUGUAAUUACUUAAGAGAAAGCAUGUAAUUGGCAGUGACUUAACGCUGGAAUGUCAUGGCAUCUUGUCCAAACGAGCAUUCUAACUUCCAGGAUACUUUUUUUGUGUCCUUGAUCUGAGAAAAUCUUUCAGUUGUUUUCAAAUGAGUAACUAAUCAAAUCUCUUUUUUGCAGGAAUAACUUAGCUUGCACAUGAAUGCAGUCAUGCAAACCGUUAGGAAAACCAGAGCCUAUAUGGAGUUCCCUCUUCUAACCCAACUGACUUGUAUCUGUCCGUGGAAAAUUUCAGUCCAGAAGAAUUGACCUUGACCAUUAAUAAAGACACUGGCAGAGAGAUCUUCCCAUAAUAAAGCAAUCUGAUUCAGCAUCACUAAACCGAUAAUGCAUGAAGCAACGAUAAAAUUACAAAAGAGCAGCAUUUUUAAUUUUCACAAAAUGUCUCAGUUUUCAGCUAUACCUGCACGUUCAUAACCAACAAUAUAAACCGUGGUCUCAUGUAACACAUAAACAAUUCAUGCCUUUCAUAGUUUAUUAAAGUCUAAACAAAAUUGCAAUUUCUUAGGUAACCUUUUAUUUACAAUAAAUGAAGAUUACCCUCAAAUGCUAGAAGCUGUCUAGGUCCGUCCGGUGUGUCAGAUUUUCCUCAGAUUAGAUGUGCCAAUAACCAAGUUUAUUCAGUAAACAACUUGUACUUGUUUCAUCUGGUUUUAUUACUCUCACCCAUAAACAGUAAUGACUCUCUGACCCUCUGGAAAUAUUUAAUGCUUCCAAUCUUGCUUUGUGUAUCUCAUUUAAUUUGUUAUAAGGUAGUACUGAUUUUAGCAUAUUAAUGCGAUUUCUUCCUUGUUGUUUGCUUUGGUCUGUGUUCAAUCCAGAGAGCUUAAAUUGUCAUUAUUUUGGGAAGAAAACCUGUAUUUUUGUUAGUUUACAAUAUUAUGAAAUUUCACUUCAGGAGAAACUGCUGGGCUUCCUGUGGCUUUGUUUUCUUAGUUUCUUUUUCCGUGCCGUGUAUUUUUUAAUUGAUUUUUCUUCUUUUACUUGAAAAGAAAGUGUUUUAUUUUCAAAUCUGGUCCAUAUUUACAUUCUAGUUCAGAGCCAAGCCUUAAACUGUACAGAAUUUCCACUGUAAUUAAAACUAUUUAGUGUUAGUUAUAAAUAGCCUUCAAAAAGAGAGAUUCUCCAUUACACGAUCACCUGCAUCACAGCCCAUGGUGAAUGUAUGUUUCUGCAUAGCGAAAUAAAAAUGGCAAAUGCACUGAAA
This 4896-nucleotide small RNA is filed under the name Pan troglodytes (chimpanzee). Its description in RNAcentral is "retained intron". Lineage: Eukaryota; Metazoa; Chordata; Mammalia; Primates; Hominidae. The record is from RNAcentral.